AUAUUGGACAAUUGGCGAAAGCCUUAUCCAUCCAUGCCGCGUGUGUGACUAAGGUCUUCGGAUUGUACAGCACUUUUAGUUUGGAGGAAGGGCAGUUAGUUAAUACCUUUCUGCUUUGACGUUACCGACAGAAUCAGCACCGGCUAACUUCGUGCCACGCGCCGCGGUAAUACGAAGGGUUCAAGCGUUAAUCGGAAUUACUGGGCGAAAAGCGCGCAUAGGUGGUUUGUUAAGUUGGAAGUGAAAGCCCCGGGCUCAACCUGGGAACUGCUUUCAAAACUGGCAAGCUAGAGUAUGGGAGAGGGUGGUGGAAUUUCCUGUGUAGCGGUGAAAUGCGUAGAUAUAGGAGGGAACACCAGUGGCGAAGGCGACCACCUGGGCUAAUACUGACACUGAGGUGCGAAAGCGUGGGGAGAAAACA
This 421-nucleotide ribosomal RNA is filed under the name uncultured bacterium. RNAcentral's name for it is "partial 16S ribosomal RNA". It matches the Rfam family "Bacterial small subunit ribosomal RNA", at positions 361 to 774 of the family's 1533-position model. The record is from RNAcentral.